RNAcentral lists this long non-coding RNA (620 nucleotides) under Fukomys damarensis (Damara mole-rat). RNAcentral's name for it is "lncRNA (ENSFDAG00000031136.1)". The record is from RNAcentral. Lineage: Eukaryota; Metazoa; Chordata; Mammalia; Rodentia; Bathyergidae.
AUUUAAUUCUUUUGGGAAGACACCCAGCAGGGGAAUAGCUGGCUCAAAUGGCACCCCUAAUCCUAGUUUUUUGAGGUAUCUCCAUACUGAUUUCCACAGAGGUUGCACCAGUCGGCACUUGAUAGCUUGUCUUUUAAUUCUACUUAUCUUUUACUAAAAGAUUUGGAAUUUUACUCGCUCAGUUGUCAAUGUUUCCUUUCUGCAUUUGGUGAAAAAGAGCCUCUUCUGUACGAAGCUAGACCUUGUGGAGGGAGACCCUUUUCUAAGUGGCAAGUAACUGCUGUGUAGGCGGUUAAAGCUCUGUAACCAGGUUGGGGAUGAGUCCCCCUCCGUAUUUUAAUUUGAAGUCCGGAUUCUCACAUGUGUGCUACAGACACGCGAGAGCAGGUGCCACCAGGUGGCGCUGUGGCGAAGCCUAGUUCCACCCGGCGCUCACGCAGCCGCGCGCAGUUUCAUCCCCAGCCCGGGGCGGGAGACUUCGCCCAACUCGGCAGGAAGAGUUCUCGGAGCGAGCCGGGAAACUCGCCCGCUGCCCAGCCCUCACCCAGGCCGAGUGGAAGCCUGUUUCACGUUCCGGCUGGGGAACGCCGGUGGGUUCUCGCUCGCAGAAGCCUGCAGCC